Molecule: non-coding RNA, 450 nt
Organism: Chiloscyllium plagiosum (whitespotted bambooshark)
Lineage: Eukaryota; Metazoa; Chordata; Chondrichthyes; Orectolobiformes; Hemiscylliidae
Source: the annotation of a RefSeq genome assembly
AUGAGCCCACGUGUUCGGGCUGUGCAAGUUGAUACCAGGAUCCAGUCUCAGCCCCCAGCAGGAAACCAACAGGCAGAAGCUUCGGAGGUUGUUUUGACCCAGUCAGAGGCAGAGACUGGCCGUCUCGAAGGCAGCCUGAAACUGAAUUGUAAAACCAGCGGGUUCGAUCUUAGCAGCUGCUGCAUGUACUGGGUCCGACAGGUUCCCGGACAGGGUCUGGAGUGGCUGCUUUGGUACUAUGGUUCAUCCAGCAGUAACUAUGCACCAGCGACUAAGGGUCGAUUUACUGCGUCCAAAGACACUUCAAACAACAUUUUCGCGUUGGACAUGGAGAACCUGAAGAUCGAAGACACCGCCAUCUAUUACUGUGCAAGAUACCACAGCGAGAGGAACCAGGGCUGGACCCAUUCAAAAACAGCUCUAGGGAACAUUUUGUCAAUUCUAUCAUAA